This is a long non-coding RNA of Cicer arietinum (chickpea), 1189 nucleotides long. RefSeq lists it as uncharacterized. NCBI's taxonomy places the organism in Eukaryota, Viridiplantae, Streptophyta, Magnoliopsida, Fabales, Fabaceae. The record is from RefSeq and is a predicted model, not a curated record.
CAUAGAUGUAAAUAUUUUUUUCUAUUUUAAUUUGACAAUGAAUAUUAUUGCUUAUGUUGACAUGUCUUAAUGUUCUAUUUAGCCUCUCUCAUUGGUAUUUUCGUCAAAAUUCCAUCUUCAAAGAACCAUCAUCUCAUCAACAAACACCAACAAACACCUGUGCAAGUUGUCGAAGUCAAAUCUUUUGAGAACUCUAAGGACACUCCUUGUAAUCCUAAUUAUAUGAUCACACCCAACAUAGAUGCCCGAAUGCAACAUUGAUCCAUCAAAUGGAAAGGGUUCUAUUGGCAUCGAUGUUGCAGCAUAAGAAGAGGUUGAUAAAUCUUUCAAAAUCUCAAGAAUAGUGUCCAUGCAGCAAGAUGAUCAGUUUAAUGAGAUCCUAUUGAUGAUAUCUGCUCCAAGAAAAAUCAACUAUCCAGCUUCUGCUCAUUCAUCUAUGCAAACUCUCCACCUCACAUGGUUUAAGUUUUCAUUUUCCUAAACCAACUAAAAUAAAAGAUGAAGCAAGUGAUAGUGAGAGUGACACUCACUCAUCUCCUCCACAUCCUUUAGAGAAAUUGGAGUGUCCCAAGAGAUCUUUCCAUCUUCACAUAUCAAGCACAGAGAUAGCCAUGCCACACAAACUCGAACAAACAAUAAGUCGCCAUGUCAUAUAUAAUCUUCAAAUCCUUCAUCGACUCACACUCCACCACAAGAUAUGUCUACCAUUACACUUUCAUAUGCUACGUGUAUACACUACCAAUACUCUAAGCAGGAAGAAAUCCAAAUGUGGAUGAGAUACAUUACCACACACAUGUGGAUGAGAAAUCCAAAUGUGUAUACACUACCAAUAUGACGGUUCAAUCAUUGAUGCUCGCUCUAAGAUCACUCAAUUUAAUUAUUUAUUUUGAUAUAUACAAAAUCAAUUUCAUGAGCUUGAAAGACAAACAUUAUCUCAAUCUCUCAGCUCAUCAUCUCCAUCUAUGAAUUCUACUCUUGUACUUGAUGAGGCUACCACAAAACAGGAGAUGAAUAACCCUUUAUCAGCAAUUGCUAAUGGAGAAGGGUCUUCUCGUCCCUCACAGUUAAUUCUUGAAAUGUUCAACUUAAUAGAUGAAUCAACAGUUAAGUCAAUGACCUAUUUAUCAUGUUGGAUUUAGUUGAUUUUAUUUUUUCCUAUUAAUGGAUAAUUUUAUUUUACUAUAAGAAA